This 304-nucleotide unclassified non-coding RNA is filed under the name Hevea brasiliensis (rubber tree). Lineage: Eukaryota; Viridiplantae; Streptophyta; Magnoliopsida; Malpighiales; Euphorbiaceae. The record is from RNAcentral.
AGAUGACAAGUAAUAGACAACGACAACAAGGAUCCACAACUAGCGUAAACUGAACAAAUGUGACGCAUGUAAUGCCUCAUACAAACCCAAAUUGAACUACCUCUAAGACUUUAACAUUCAUUCUUUCUCUGCACAUAUUCCAUUUUCAGGGGGCUCUUUUUCAUUUCAUGUUUCCAUAUCAAACAUUUUUUCAUCCAUAUAGUUGGAGACCACCAAGUUUGUGUAUAGAUUUAAUUUACUACUCUAACUAACUAGACCAAAAGGGAAAAUUAACUCUAGAUUCCCAAUGUCUUGUAUGGCUGUG